This 1019-nucleotide long non-coding RNA is filed under the name Corvus moneduloides (New Caledonian crow). Its description in RNAcentral is "lncRNA (ENSCMUG00000017258.1)". Lineage: Eukaryota; Metazoa; Chordata; Aves; Passeriformes; Corvidae. The record is from RNAcentral.
AAGGACAGGUAAGUCCCAGGCAUCACUGACAGGGGAAGAUCCCGCACUGUACAAAGAACACCACUGGCUGAAGAGGAAAUAUUCUCCAUAUGAAGAGCUGUGGAAUAAGGCUUUGACCUGGAGAUCACCUUGACACUCUCACCAUUGAACAAGAAGCAAGUCAUUGCAAGGUUAGUGACUUGUAGCAAUAGUUUUUCAGCUCCCUUUGCAGAUGUGCAACAGUUUGAACAGCUGGUGCAUGUGCAGCUUGGUAAUGUGGCUUUGAAUCAAGUGAUACUGUUCCUUGGUCUUCCCAGGAGGCUUCCUUAUCCCUCCUCUAGCGGAGCACUGGAAUAGAUGCAGCAUGCUGAGGGGACUAGUGGAGCUUCCAUCAACUUAAGAACAGACUGAACUGCCAGGAACAGUUUCUGCACAACUAAGCCUUUUUUAGGGCCAAAGAACAAAGCAAAUCAGUGUUUCUCAGCCUGUGGACCUCACAGUUCUGGUAGUCAGUAAGGAAACAGUAGGGAGUCCAUGAAACAGACUCAGCAACCAUAAAGUGGAUUCACACCUCCUUAUAUCAACAAACAGAAAAGAUAAGGGGAAAAAGCACUUACUAAAUGAACACCUGAAGUUAAGCUUCAUUAUUUGUUUGGUUGUUUGUGGAAACCAUUGUACCCGUACUUGUUUUUUCUUUUCCUCAUAACACUGGGAGGAUCCUUGGUGUUUGGGAAAAAAAAGUGCUGAGAUGAUGUUUUGAUUAAAGUGUAAAAAAAAAAAAAAGGAGAGAAAGGACUCUAAAGAUUGUUACCAGCUCUGCUUUUUUAUGAUCCUGUAUCCUCUGUGAUUUCUACUUCUGUUCUCUUCUUUGUCAUUUUUGCCACUACUUACGGUUCUCUUUCUUCCUGUCAUAAAAAAAAAAAAAAAAAGAGGAUAAGUUGUAGGUGCAGCAAAUACUCUGCAGCAAUGUUUAGAUCAGAGAAAGGAGCUCUUCCAUCUCUCAAACUCUGAGGAUAAUUUAGCUUGCUUAUACAGAAUUG